Molecule: ribosomal RNA, 433 nt
Filed under: uncultured bacterium
Lineage: Bacteria
Description: partial 16S ribosomal RNA
Rfam family: Bacterial small subunit ribosomal RNA
Source: RNAcentral
AACGAACGCUGGCGGCAUGCCUAACACAUGCCAGUCGAACGAGACCUUCGGGUCUAGUGGCGCACGGGUGCGUAACGCGUGGGAACCUGCCCUUAGGUUCGCAAUAACUCCCCGAAAGGGGUGCUAAUACCGGAUAAUGUCUUCGGACCAAAGAUUUUUCGCCUUUGGAUGGGCCCGCGUUGGAUUAGCUGGUUGGUAGGGUAAAAGCCUACCAAGGCGACGAUCCAUAGCUGGUCUGAUAGGAUGAUCAGCCACACUGGGGCUGAGACACGGCCCAGACUCCUACGGGAGGCAGCAGUGGGGAAUAUUAGACGAUGGGCGAAAGCCUGAUCAAGCAGUGCCGCGUGAGUGAUGAAGGCCUUAGGGUUGUAAAGCUCUUUUACCCGAGAUGAUAAUGACAGUACCGGGAGAAUAAGCUCCGGCUAACUCCGUG